RNAcentral lists this ribosomal RNA (414 nucleotides) under uncultured bacterium. Its description in RNAcentral is "bacterial SSU rRNA". It matches the Rfam family "Bacterial small subunit ribosomal RNA", at positions 355 to 786 of the family's 1533-position model. The record is from RNAcentral.
UUGGGAAUAUUGCGCAAUGGAGGAAACUCUGACGCAGUGACGCCGCGUGCAGGAAGAAGGUUUUCGGAUUGUAAACUGCUUUAGACAGGGAAGAAAAAGACAGUACCUGUAGAAUAAGCUCCGGCUAACUACGUGCCAGCAGCCGCGGUAAUACGUAGGGAGCAAGCGUUAUCCGGAUUUAUUGGGUGUAAAGGGUGCGUAGACGGGAAAACAAGUUAGUUGUGAAAUCCCUCGGCUUAACUGAGGAACUGCAACUAAAACUAUUUUUCUUGAGUGCUGGAGAGGAAAGUGGAAUUCCUAGUGUAGCGGUGAAAUGCGUAGAUAUUAGGAGGAACACCAGUGGUGAAGGCGACUUUCUGGACAGUAACUGACGUUGAGGCACGAAAGUGUGGGGAGCAAACAGGAUUAGAUACC